This 77-nucleotide transfer RNA is filed under the name Paenibacillus curdlanolyticus YK9. RNAcentral describes it as "tRNA-Met". It matches the Rfam family "tRNA". From Rfam's summary of the family: Transfer RNA (tRNA) molecules are approximately 80 nucleotides in length. Their secondary structure includes four short double-helical elements and three loops (D, anti-codon, and T loops). Lineage: Bacteria; Bacillati; Bacillota; Bacilli; Caryophanales; Paenibacillaceae. RNAcentral also lists the same sequence under 2 other names. The record is from RNAcentral.
CGCGGGGUGGAGCAGUUCGGUAGCUCGUCGGGCUCAUAACCCGAAGGUCACAGGUUCAAAUCCUGUCUCCGCAACCA